This 2086-nucleotide long non-coding RNA is filed under the name Rattus norvegicus (Norway rat). RNAcentral describes it as "long non-coding RNA NONRATT019339". The record is from RNAcentral. Lineage: Eukaryota; Metazoa; Chordata; Mammalia; Rodentia; Muridae.
UAGCCGUGUUUUGACAACUUGGAAACUUGAUUCAAUUAUUUAUAACACAGCUGAAAAUUUAAAAUGGACUCCACACAUUUAAAUGCAGUUUCAGGCCAAUUUUCUAGGUACAAUUACCACAGACAGGUGAGCUACAGCAUAAAUUCCAAACAUGGCAGAAAUGGAAAUUACCUAUAAAUAUAAAUGAGUUUAGAUAUUGAUGAGCCUGAUGCUAUUUCCCGGGCACUCCACUGGUUCCCCUCACCUUAAGGAACUCUCAAGUCCUGCUCUUCCACUGCAAGCACAGCUGGUCCUUAAAUCUACAGGCCUCUGGCUACAGUCCGAAUUUUGAACACAGUUCUGUCACCGUGUGCAGCAGCAGCCAUGUGCAAAGUUCUAGAUCAAGGAACAAAGGUAGCACAUGUUCCUGACAGUGUGGAAACAUAAAUGCGAAUUAAAUAGAAAUUAUCCCUUCUGAAUUCAUUAAUCUAAGGCCCGUUAUAUAAUAAUCAAGGUUUUUAUUAAUAAAUCUUAUAUGAUGUAUCAUAUGUUGAUAGAAUAGCCAAACCAUGAAUUCUUUUUGUUCCUUUCAUUUCUAAAUAGGUUGUUCCUGGAGCCUGAAUUAAUAAAAAGAACACAGCACACAUUUUUCAGGCGAUGAGGGUUUCACAUGGUGAUAAUGUGAAUACAUUCAGUUUUUAUUUGAUUCUCAUAGGUCAAGUUUUACUGUUCGGUAAGAGUUGUAAAUUAGAUUAAAACCCUGAUGCAUAAGUUGUAAACAAACUUAAUUUAAGAGCAAGUUUGAAAAGCACAAGAGCUAAUAACACCACUGAGGCAUAUAGACAAGUCUCUUAUGGGCAUAUGCAGCUCCCUGAAGCGCAUGGAUCAAGCUACCGCCUCAGAGCACACCAGCACCAGGGGCGCAUGCGCUAAAGGAAGAGCUCCCCUCCCCACCCCCCAUGCUUCACGAUCCAUGUUGACUUCAGUCUGUGCCAUUCUGGGCAUCAUAGUUCUCCUUCAGAUUAUUAGCAGUUCCACCUCUUGGCACGUACUACUUUUGCUCUAAGUUGGAGUGAGAGUACUGGUUUAUAAGAUUACUGGAUUUGUACAAUAUUUAAGAUUCAAUAAAUUCUAAGUGAAAAAACAUACCAAAACACAAGCAUGUUUUUUUUUCCUAAAAUAAGAUAAUUUUGUUGUGCCAACUUUAUGACAGCUAUUUCGGCAGCAUUUUCACAUACAUCCUGAGUGACCUGAAGCAUGCAUUUGGGAUGUUUUAGGGGACACAGAUGGCUGAGAAAGAAACACAAAUGGGGUUACAAAGCAUGACAUCGCUGGCUACCCCAUAAGAAAAAUCACAGAGCCUGGCUUAAUAAACCACUAUGAAGCUGAGUAUAGUUGAUCAUCUCUCUGCAUUCAUAUUUCUCUGAUAAUAUUAAAAUUUAAGCCAAAGAAUUUGAAUUAAUAAAAAAUAUUUUUUACAGAUAUUGAAAAAGGUAUGUCUUUCAAGGCACAUAGUCAGUCCUCAGGAAGGUUCUCUGCGACCCUUUAAUACAGUUCCUCUUUUGGUGGUGACCCCUAACAGCAAAAAGUAUUUUGAUUGCUACUUCAUAACUGUAAUUUUGCUGCUAUGAAUCAUAAUGAAAAUAUCUGUAUUUUCCAAUAGUCUUAGGUGACCCUUGACUUGGGUGGUUGUUAGACCACCCAAAGGGGUCAUGACCCACAGGUUAAGAACUGCUGUUAUAAACUAUAAAUGUCAACAAUUUAAUAAAAAGUCCUUGGUCCAUGUGGCCUUUUUGAAUAAAUUCUUUAAGCAUGUGAAAUUACUUAAAAUGCAUCCAUCAUGAUAAUGGAAUAUUUUCACCAUUCAAUAAACAAAAUCUUGUAUUUGCACCUCUCUGUAUCUACAGGGAUUGGUUCUAGAUUCUCCUAUGGAUAUAGGUUCCAAAUCCAAUGAUUCUCAAGCGUCUCCUGUAAAAUGACAGUCUAUACAGAAAUGGAAGCUUGUCCCCCUCUAUACUUCAAUCUCCAGAUUCUUGUAAUAUAAAUGUCAAUGCUGUAUUAAAAAAUAAUUAUAAGGGAAAACAUAAAUGCAUGCUGAGUGCAAACA